GUGCUUGCUUCAAUAGCACAUACACUAAAAUGGGAAUGAUACAGAGAUUAGCAUGGCCUUUGUGCAAGGAUGACAUGGAAAUUUAUGAAGCAUUCCAUAUUUUU
Nannospalax galili (Upper Galilee mountains blind mole rat) is the source of this 104-nucleotide small nuclear RNA. The record is from Ensembl. NCBI's taxonomy places the organism in Eukaryota, Metazoa, Chordata, Mammalia, Rodentia, Spalacidae.